RNAcentral lists this ribosomal RNA (350 nucleotides) under uncultured Anoxybacillus sp. RNAcentral's name for it is "bacterial SSU rRNA". It matches the Rfam family "Bacterial small subunit ribosomal RNA", at positions 1032 to 1382 of the family's 1533-position model. The record is from RNAcentral. Lineage: Bacteria; Bacillati; Bacillota; Bacilli; Caryophanales; Anoxybacillaceae.
GGACAGGUGGUGCAUGGUUGUCGGUCAGCUCGUGUCGUGAGAUGUUGGGUUAAGUCCCGCAACGAGCGCACCCCUCGACCUUAGUUGCCAGCAUUCAGUUGGGCACUCUAAGGUGACUGCCGGCUAAAAGUCGGAGGAAGGUGGGGAUGACGUCAAAUCAUCAUGCCCCUUAUGACCUGGGCUACACACGUGCUACAAUGGGCGGUACAAAGGGUCGCGAACCCGCGAGGGGGAGCCAAUCCCAAAAAGCCGCUCUCAGUUCGGAUUGCAGGCUGCAACUCGCCUGCAUGAAGCCGGAAUCGCUAGUAAUCGCGGAUCAGCAUGCCGCGGUGAAUACGUUCCCGGGCCUU